This 179-nucleotide unclassified non-coding RNA is filed under the name soil metagenome. RNAcentral's name for it is "partial internal transcribed spacer 1". The record is from RNAcentral.
CAGAGUUGCAAAAACUCCCUAAAACCAUUGUGAACGUUACCUAAAACCGUUGCUUCGGGCGGGCGGCCCCCGGGGUUCUCCCCGGGCGCCCCUGGGCCCCCAUCGCGGGCGCCCGCCGGAGGUCACCAAACUCUUGAUAAUUUAUGGGCCUCUCUGAGUCUUCUGUACUGAAUAAGUCA